UACGGGGGGGGCAAGCGUUGUUCGGAAUUACUGGGCUUAAAGGGCGCGUAGGCGGCUUGCCAAGUCAGGGGUGAAAUCCUGCAGCUUAACUGUAGAAGGGCCUUUGAUACUGGCGAGCUCGAGGGAGGUAGGGGUAUGUGGAACUUCCGGUGGAGCGGUGAAAUGCGUUGAUAUCGGAAGGAACGCCGGUGGCGAAAGCGACGUACUGGACCUCUUCUGACGCUGAGGCGCGAAAGCUAGGGGAGCAAACGGG
RNAcentral lists this ribosomal RNA (253 nucleotides) under uncultured bacterium. Its description in RNAcentral is "partial 16S ribosomal RNA". It matches the Rfam family "Bacterial small subunit ribosomal RNA", at positions 524 to 776 of the family's 1533-position model. The record is from RNAcentral.